UCUGUUCCUUCAGGAGGAUAAGGGGCGGAGAUGCCGACCGGCCCCAGCGCGUUCCCACACGCCGGAGCAGCGUGGUGGCGGCGGCGGCGCCCUCGCACGCUACGUUGCCGCGGGAAGGAUAGGCGUCGCCGCGGCCCCUUUUUGGGGGCGGCUGCUUUGUUUGGAGGCGACGACGGCGAGACGAGAUGCCGCCAUCCUUCAGGAAUGAUGGACCUAGCAUGGAUGAGAGGGACAAGCACUAGAGCAUGAUCACCCAGGGAGAAGAUGGCAGCAAGCAUGAGAGGAUUGAAGAUGAUGCCGUAACGGAAGAUUUAAGAACUUUGAAGCCACCAUAAGGAGAGAUGAAGACGUGGGCGACAUAUAGAGUUUUCCAAUUUCUACUUUUGUCCACGUGAAAAUAUGGUGCUGCAUCACCUCAAGUUGGGUCAGGCCCAUGUAAACCGACCUAGGGUUCGGCCCACUUGCCAAGGCUGGCCGCAUACCCUCUAUAUAAACCUCUUCUAGGUCAUCGUUUAGGCUCGGAUUUUGUUUAGUUUAAGACUUAGCCACUGCUAAUAUUCACCAUAGGCACGAGAGUCAAAUCAACCUCCUGUACUACGCACUUGCAGAAUUCCACCUAUAAAGUUUCAUUUUUAUUCGCAAUAUCUUGAUUGCAUCUAUUGUUCUUGCUGGUUCUUCGGUUGCUUGCAGGGAUUGAUCCUUCGGGAUCAGGUUGAUCUAGCUCCGGCGUGGUCAAUAACCUCGGAAGUUGGUGUAGCGAUCGCUAAGGCGCAACGUCUCGCACAUUUGUAGUCUGUUCGUCAACGUCGACCUCCACCCAAAUCGAUAGCUAUCUCCUCAUCGAAAGAUCGGACCGCCUUUACCCUAUCAGUACCAAACAACGUUCUAAACUUCAUCGGUUCUUUUGUUGACUCAGUUAUGAUCUGGACCAAACAACAUUCAUCCUUUUAUCGAUGCAGCCAUUCUUCAGGUCUUUUUUCUGCAGGAGUUCCGUGAUAAUGGUGACUUGAUCUUCUGCAAAUAGUAGGCUUGGCAGCUGGUAAUGCAGGUUACUCUUGCCGCAUCAAAGUUCUCCUUUUUUUUACUGCAUCUUCUUCACAAUUCACAUAAUAUCAAGAUUUCUGUUAGGAUAGUAAUUGACCUUUAAAUGUUACUCCUAAGUUCCUCAGAUGUUGUGGCGGUACAAGCAUUGGUGACUCUUGCAUGAAAAAAUGACAUCUUCUCCGAGACAGAGGUGGAUCAAGGACCAAUCACAUUAAGCACAAACUACAUGCUUUCCAUGAGGCAAUUACCUAAGCACAUAAAUAGAUAGCGGGAUGAAAGUCAAAUUCAAGUUCGGUGACACCCCCGUGGAUUUUGUGCGAAGAAUUAGGGCUGGUAGUCUACUAGUUGCACUGUCGCUAACGUGGGCCUGGCAAUGGUGGGGGCGCAAAUGGAUGGAAGAGAAAAACGAGUUGGGCUGGAUUGGUAAAGAGGUUUGGAUCGGUGUGGUUUGGUUUGUACCCACAACGACUGAAUUGGGCGUGUUACUAAUGGGCUCAACCCAAUUAGCCUAAUGGGCUCAACCCAAUUAGGGCUAGGUUUCACCCCGUGGAGUAACCACGCGUCCCCGACGGCCCGACCCUGACACCGCGACUAGAUUCGCUCCGCUGUCGCCUGCCUCCUCUGGCGCUGCUCUGCCGCCCCUGCCUCCUCCGGCGCUCCGCCGCCCCUGCCUCAUCCUCGUCGUCCCGCAUCGUCUUCCACCCUACCUGCUCGCCGCCGGUGUGCCCAAGCCCCAAGGCCCCCAGUCUCUCCUCCCCUCACCGGAGUCCACCACAACAUUCUCUUCGUCCAUCUCAGUCGAAACUUGGAGAUCUUGGAGAUGAUCAUAAGGAAGAGUGUCACUGAUUGGAAAUCGGGUUAUAAAAUGGUGAUGGUGCUUUGUUAGCGGCCGCUGAUCAUGUUUGUCUUGAAUCUCUUUGCAAGGACAGUUAGUUUAAUCAGGCAUGUUACCUCAAAUUUGGUCCACAGUCUGUAAAAUUUUAUGUACUGUUGUUCAGACUUCGGAGUGCCAAGCGAAAUUUUGGUGGCUAUUUAUCACCCUUUAUAUGUUAUUUGGCGGACAGUAUUUGUCCUGAGGUACUACCUUGUACAAGUUGAAUCUGAAAUCAAAUCAGAUGGUGGCAAUGGUAUUACGUAGAGAGGGUUUCUAAAUUUAA
Brachypodium distachyon (stiff brome) is the source of this 2201-nucleotide long non-coding RNA. RefSeq lists it as uncharacterized. The record is from RefSeq and is a predicted model, not a curated record. NCBI's taxonomy places the organism in Eukaryota, Viridiplantae, Streptophyta, Magnoliopsida, Poales, Poaceae. The transcript has 8 exons.